AGUGAACGCUGGCGGUAGGCCUAACACAUGCAAGUCGAACGGCAGCACAGUAAGAGCUUGCUCUUACGGGUGGCGAGUGGCGGACGGGUGAGGAAUACAUCGGAAUCUACUUUUUCGUGGGGGAUAACGUAGGGAAACUUACGCUAAUACCGCAUACGACCUACGGGUGAAAGCAGGGGAUCUUCGGACCUUGCGCGAUUGAAUGAGCCGAUGUCGGAUUAGCUAGUUGGCGGGGUAAAGGCCCACCAAGGCGACGAUCCGUAGCUGGUCUGAGAGGAUGAUCCGCCACACUGGAACUGAGACACGGUCCAGACUCCUACGGGAGGCAGCAGUGGGGAAUAUUAGACAAUGGGCGCAAGCCUGAUCCAGCCAUACCGCGUGGGUGAAGAAGGCCUUCGGGUUGUAAAGCCCUUUUGUUGGGAAAGAAAAGCAGCAGGUUAAUACCCCGCUGUUCUGACGGUACCCAAAGAAUAAGCACCGGCUAACUUCGUG
RNAcentral lists this ribosomal RNA (492 nucleotides) under uncultured bacterium. RNAcentral describes it as "partial 16S ribosomal RNA". It matches the Rfam family "Bacterial small subunit ribosomal RNA", at positions 29 to 507 of the family's 1533-position model. The record is from RNAcentral.